AUUGAACGCUGGCGGCAUGCCUUACACAUGCAAGUCGAACGGCAGCACGGACUUCGGUCUGGUGGCGAGUGGCGAACGGGUGAGUAAUGCAUCGGAACGUGCCAUUGAGUGGGGGAUAACGUAGCGAAAGUUGCGCUAAUACCGCAUAUUCUGUGAGCAGGAAAGCAGGGGACCGCAAGGCCUUGCGCUCUUUGAGCGGCCGAUGUCAGAUUAGCUAGUUGGUGAGGUAAAGGCUUACCAAGGCGACGAUCUGUAGCGGGUCUGAGAGGAUGAUCCGCCACACUGGAACUGAGACACGGUCCAGACUCCUACGGGAGGCAGCAGUGGGGAAUUUUGGACAAUGGGGGCAACCCUGAUCCAGCCAUGCCGCGUGAGUGAAGAAGGCCUCGGUUGUAAGCUCUUCGUCCGGGAACGAAAGUACGCAUGGCCGAAUAACCCUCGUGUGGAUGA
RNAcentral lists this ribosomal RNA (450 nucleotides) under uncultured bacterium. RNAcentral's name for it is "bacterial SSU rRNA". It matches the Rfam family "Bacterial small subunit ribosomal RNA", at positions 30 to 475 of the family's 1533-position model. The record is from RNAcentral.